GCCACCUCCGCUUCCCCAAACUGUAGCACGCCGGGCGUCGAAGGUCAUUGGCAGGCAGGCAUGAAAACGAUAAAAUACCAUUGCGGCAGCAUGAGGUAACAAAAGAGUAACGCGCAGCGUGCUUCGCUGUGCAGUGUGCACUGUUGCCUGCUUUCUGAAAACCAAAAGACACGUUACAAGCGUCGCUCCGUUGUCCACUGCUGCACCUGUCACAGGACAUAAGAGAAAGUCACACGAUAUCAAACACAGAGAAUAAAAUGCAAUCACUGCAGCUAGCGACUACAGUCUUCAACAUCUCACAAUAGCUACCAACUAUUGUCCAAAGGCAAAAUACAAUAAAAGAGUAUGAAGAAAAGAUUAAAAAGUCUUUUGUGAAGGUGAACACCAUGCUCCAAGAGUCAGUUAGUUAUCAAAAUGAAUUUCAUAAAUUUCUGAAAAAAUAUUCUUCUGAGUCACAGAAGCGGUAUAUGACUAUUAAAGAAGAGGUACAAGCACUGUCUACUUGUUCUAAGAAGAUGUGUGAGAGUCUAGAUGAGAUUGCUAGCUACAAAGAAGAUAUUUGCUCACAAAAAAUUCAAGAAACAAAGAAGCUGCUGUACAAGGAAGCAGAUCAGAUGAUUGCAAGAGAAACAAACAGAAAUCGUGCUCUUGUUCGUGAAAAAGUUGGUCAUGCCUUAAGUAAAAGAAAAUAAAAAAGAAUUUUUUAUAUACUUUCCCUUGAAGAUACUGCAGCACUGUUUCACCAUGACAAAAAGCUGCAGUCUCCUUAAAAGACCAAAUGUGGAUGUUACUGAAGUAAAAGCUAUAGUCAGUUGUACAAUACAAAUGGAAUGACUAUUCGUUAUUAUUCAGAAGCAAUAUUAUGUUUAAACAGGAUGAUUUUUUUCCUUAAUAGUACACUGUCAUUAAAAGUGAAAACUGCACUCAGGAAUAAAUUUUUUAUCUUGCUCUUUCAGAACCAGAACAGCAUUCUUUCCAUUUGCAACAGGAAGUAUGUGAAUGGAAAGACAGGCUGUCAGUAUCAUCAACAAAAAGACUCAUUAGAUCGAUGACUUUACAGACUGUUAUGGAAAGACGGAAUAACUGGAGUCUCUUCCAUGACAAGAAAUAGUACAUUGGCUGUUAGAUUAUAAUCAGUCAGCCAAUAAUCAAUGAUCACAUACUGUAAUUUGGUAAAACUAGUGCAACAUAAAAUACAGCAAGGAGAACUAGAGAAAUAUAGUUUCUCUUACAGGAAAGGAGAGACAGAAUGAUCAGAGGGUGGCUGAUAUGUGACUAAAAUUAAAGAGAAAGCAGAUCUUUCCUCACGUAUGAGAGAGGGAGAAAUAGGUAUACUACUUUAGAUAAACAGUUUAACCAAAGAGAAAUCAGGAAAUUUGCCAUGACUAAAACAUUUGUCCAAGAUGAUGCUUUCAUUUGCAGAUCUCAGAUGGAGCAGUAUAUCCAAAAGAACCAACUAGCAAAGAAUUAAAACAAAUGUUGAGUGGUAGUCCAUAAAUGAUAUAAUUUCAGAAUACACUCUUUCUGCAUCCAUUGUUGUUAAACUAUACUGUACAUUAAUUUUUCCAGUUUAUAGCAAACAUCAUUCAACACUGUAUGUGGACAUACUCAGUUACAGCUCCUAUGAUGCACAAAUAAAUACAGGAAAUGCUUUCCAUUGCCACUUUAUUAAUAAAUUAAUGUAAAAAUCCAUCAUUAAUUUAACAGCCCCCCACAAUUAACUGAAAUUACUUGCAGUUUUACUUACAGUUGUCUCCCUAAGAUGUGUUUGUCAGCUGCUAUUUAUUUUGCACAAACUUUCAUAGACUUUCCUUUUGCCAACCUUGAAUUGCACUCUCAACCAACUACCUCACAAAUGUUGGGUGAUUACAUACGUUAACAACCAAUCUUUAGUAUUCCCUCCAUUUCUUAUCUCAGUUUGGAUCUUUCCCUGACUGCUCUCUCCUUAUGAUUAAUUGUGCUUCUAUUCUUUCUUUGUUUUUCUCAUUUUAUGUCUUCAUUACUACUUCAUGUUUCAAACGCCAUGUUAUUAAUCAGGUUUUUGUGUUUACUCAUCAUGUUAUUUAAAGGUUUGCAUUAUCUUUAUUUUACAAAAAUAUAUGUUAUCAGUCAGGUUUGUCAUGCUUACUCAUCAGUUCAUCUCACACUCAUCAGUUCAUCUCAUCUUCUGAAUGUUCACAUUACCUUGAUUUUAGCAAUCAUUUUAUUGACAGUCAACAGAUUUGUACUCUCAACACCUUUCUGGUAACUUCCGUAUUUUGUUUGAAUCUUACAGAGUUUACAUAUUUUUUCUUCCUUUUUAUUAUUGCCUACUAACGAAAACGUUUUUGGUCAUUGAAGCUCAAAUAUUUGAUUAUAGUUUUCUAUAUGAUUGCAUUUUUUACUGUUAAUACUUUUACCCUCGAACAAUUUGCUUUAAACUGUACUUUAUAUUCUUAUUGAUUCAUCUGCCCUGAAUUGCAGCAAGAAAAUGUACAAUAAAUAAAGUAAAUAUGUCUACAGGAAGUCAUCUGAAUUGUGUUAAACUUAGUCAUUGGAAUCAUGUGGUAACAAGUAAUAAAUGUUGUCAAGGCGUAUGUACUGGUAUGGUGUACCAACAUUUAAGUACAUUGUAAUUGCAGUAACUUAAGUUGUUCAUAUAUGAACAUGAGUCUCUGAGCAUUUUCAAAAGCAUCACAGAGAUUGAAUUAACUUGUAUUUAAAUUAUUUUUGUUACAAGGUGUCAGACUCACAUAACUUCAUGAAACAUCAGAUAUUUACAGACCUGCUGUAAGGUAGAUAAUGGUAUGUCCACACUUGCCAUUACACCUUUAUAGAUUUAAGUUUCAAUAGUUGAGUGCAGUAUUCUUAUCAAAAUACACUGUGGAAUAAUAAGUUUCUAUUGUCAGCAGGGCAUUGUAUAUGUAUCUUCAAAUAUACCUCAGUAAGUAAAUAAGUAUUGUGUAAUUAAUUGUCUUGGUGAUUUCAUAAACCAUUUCUUUAUGUUUUGUAUCUGUUUGAACUGAGAGUUCAUUGCACAUGAGAUGUCUAAUGUUAACUUCUGUUCAUUUGUUAGUGUACAGAAAAAUGCAGAUC
Molecule: long non-coding RNA, 3075 nt
Filed under: Schistocerca americana (American grasshopper)
Lineage: Eukaryota; Metazoa; Arthropoda; Insecta; Orthoptera; Acrididae
Description: uncharacterized LOC124619843
Source: RNAcentral